UACGUAGGGGGCAAGCGUUGUCCGGAUUUAUUGGGCGUAAAGAGCGUGUAGGCGGUUUGGUAGGUCCGUUGUGAAAACUCGAGGCUCAACCUCGAGACGCCGAUGGAAACCAUCAGACUAGAGUCCGGAAGAGGAGAGUGGAAUUCCUGGUGUAGCGGUGAAAUGCGCAGAUAUCAGGAGGAACACCGGUGGUGUAAACGGCUUUCUGGACCAUAACUGACGCUGAGGCACGAAAGCGUGGGUAGCAAACAGG
This 253-nucleotide ribosomal RNA is filed under the name uncultured bacterium. RNAcentral's name for it is "partial 16S ribosomal RNA". It matches the Rfam family "Bacterial small subunit ribosomal RNA", at positions 524 to 776 of the family's 1533-position model. The record is from RNAcentral.